CUGGCUCAGGAUGAACGCUAGCUACAGGCUUAACACAUGCAAGUCGAGGGGCAGCAUGAACAUAGCUUGCUAUGUUUGAUGGCGACCGGCGCACGGGUGCGUAACACGUAUCCAAUCUGCCCGUCACUCGGGGAUAGCCUUCUGAAAGGAAGAUUAAUACCCGAUGGGAUGCAUUUCCGGCAUCGGAGAUGCAUUAAAGAUUUAUCGGUGACGGAUGAGGAUGCGUACGAUUAGCUUGUUGGCGGGGUAACGGCCCACCAAGGCAACGAUCGUUAGGGGUUCUGAGAGGAAGGUCCCCCACACUGGAACUGAGACACGGUCCAGACUCCUACGGGAGGCAGCAGUGAGGAAUAUUGGUCAAUGGACGAGAGUCUGAACCAGCCAAGUAUUAUCGAUAGUUACCAUCAGGUUAAGCUGGGGACUCUAGCGGGACUGCCACUGCAAGGUGUGAGGAAGGGGGGGAUGACGUCAAAUCAGCACGGCCCUUACGUCCGGGGCGACACACGUGUUACAAUGGUGAGUACAGAGUGAAGCUACCUGGCGACAGGAUGCAGAUCUCGAAAGCUCAUCCCAGUUCGGAUUGGAGUCUGCAACCCGACUCCAUGAAGUUGGAUUCGCUAGUAAUCGCGCAUCAGCCAUGGCGCGGUGAAUACGUUCCCGGGCCUUGCACACACCGCCCGUA
Molecule: ribosomal RNA, 682 nt
Filed under: uncultured bacterium
Lineage: Bacteria
Description: bacterial SSU rRNA
Rfam family: Bacterial small subunit ribosomal RNA
Source: RNAcentral